AGCUUUACACCAUAUAAUAUCAACAGUUCGAUGUUCACCUGAUUACCUCUUGCCAUCAUAGUGUGAUGGGCUGCGUGACAUUACCUAGUUGGUAACGUAACGGCUUAGCAAGCGACCAUGUCGGUCUGCUCUGAUAAGAAAAUCCCCCGCACUGGUACUGAGACACAGACUCCACUCAUAGGCAAGGCUGCAGUAAGGAAUAUUGCAUUGUGCAAUGGGGCCAGAUGCGAACCUGCCAUGUGUAUGAAAAAAGGACUGCCCUUGGAAUUGAAUUUCGCUUUUGACCAAGAAGUUGUGGUUAUUAAACUAUUUAAUUGACUGUACCGGAAGAAUAAGGAUCGGCUAACUCCGUGCCAGCAGCCGCGGUAAUACGGAGGAUGCGAGCGUUAUCCGGAUUUAUUGGGUUUAAAGGGUGCGCAGGCGGUCUGUCAAGUCAGAUGUGAAAUACCGUGGCUCAACCUGCGAACUGCCUUCGAUACUGAUGGCUUGAAUCUUGUUUGAAGUGGCGAAUUCCAGAGUAGCGGUGAAAUGCAUAGAUAUGUCUUAGAUCUCCGAUUGCGAAGGCAGCUCACUGGACUGGUACUGACGCUGAUGCACGAAAGCGUGGGGAUCGACAGGAUUAGAUACCCUGGUUA
RNAcentral lists this ribosomal RNA (635 nucleotides) under Sphingobacterium sp. RNAcentral describes it as "bacterial SSU rRNA". It matches the Rfam family "Bacterial small subunit ribosomal RNA", at positions 160 to 793 of the family's 1533-position model. The record is from RNAcentral. Lineage: Bacteria; Pseudomonadati; Bacteroidota; Sphingobacteriia; Sphingobacteriales; Sphingobacteriaceae.